AGACCCGAAACCCGGUGAUCUAGCCAUGGGCAGGUUGAAGGUUGGGUAACACUAACUGGAGGACCGAACCGACUAAUGUUGAAAAAUUAGCGGAUGACCUGUGGCUGGGGGUGAAAGGCCAAUCAAACCGGGAGAUAGCUGGUUCUCCCCGAAAGCUAUUUAGGUAGCGCCUCGUGAAUUCAUCUCCGGGGGUAGAGCACUGUUUCGGCUAGGGGGCCAUCCCGGCUUACCAACCCGAUGCAAACUGCGAAUACCGGAGAAUGUUAUCACGGGAGACACACGGCGGGUGCUAACGUCCGUCGUGAAGAGGGAAACAACCCAGACCGCCAGCUAAGGUCCCAAAGUCAUGGUUAAGUGGGAAACGAUGUGGGAAGGCCCAGACAGCCAGGAUGUUGGCUUAGAAGCAGCCAUCAUUUAAAGAAAGCGUAAUAGCUCACUGGUCGAGUCGGCCUGCGCGGAAGAUGUAACGGGGCUAAACCAUGCACCGAAGCUGCGGCAGCGAACGUAUCACCCAAGACAACUUUACGGAGUUGACGAUUGACGGAGCGAAGCGACGUCAAAGCGUUCAUUAAAGUCGAGUUGGCUUAGGGAUACGUUCGUUGGGUAGGGGAGCGUUCUGUAAGCCUGUGAAGGUGUGUCGUGAGGCAUGCUGGAGGUAUCAGAAGUGCGAAUGCUGACAUAAGUAACGAUAAAGCGGGUGAAAAGCCCGCUCGCCGGAAGACCAAGGGUUCCUGUCCAACGUUAAUCGGGGCAGGGUGAGUCGACCCCUAAGGCGAGGCCGAAAGGCGUAGUCGAUGGGAAACGGGUUAAUAUUCCCGUACUUGGUGUUACUGCGAAGGGGGGACGGAGAAGGCUAUGUUGGCCGGGCGACGGUUGUCCCGGUUUAAGGGUGUAGGUGUGUGUUCCAGGUAAAUCCGGUUCACUUUAACACUGAGGCGUGACGACGAGGCACUACGGUGCUGAAGCAACAAAUGCCCUGCUUCCAGGA
Molecule: ribosomal RNA, 988 nt
Filed under: Salmonella enterica subsp. enterica serovar Typhimurium
Lineage: Bacteria; Pseudomonadati; Pseudomonadota; Gammaproteobacteria; Enterobacterales; Enterobacteriaceae
Description: partial 23S ribosomal RNA
Rfam family: Bacterial large subunit ribosomal RNA
Source: RNAcentral